AGUUCUGCAAGCAGGCCAGAGGAGAUGGUGCUUGUUAACGUAUUUUGAGCUCGUGUGCAAGUGUUCAAAGAGCAACAGGACGUUGCCAUGGAUUAACAGGGGAACGUGGGAGGAUGGCCGUUCGGGGGACCCAGGAUCAAUCUGAAAUCCCAGCAGAUGACUUUGGGGGUUUUUGUUUUUAAUUGCUCCAGAAAGCCAUCAUUCAGCAUGACUGCAAAAGCACCUUUCCCGGUUCCCAGAGAAACCAAACUGGGCAGACUGGGAGCACCGAUCUGGGUGGUGUCUGGGCAGUGAGGUUGACCCUGCCCAGCACUCCACCUCCACAACACGUGCCCACUGUCCUCCCAAACAUCCGGCCUGCAAGGAAGAAGGCCUCCAGAAUUCCCUCCACAUCCCUGAACAGUCCUCACCCAUGUUUUUCUGAACAAAACUUUUUUUCCUCUUUAGUCUGAUGCUAGAACUUCUUUUUUUCUGGAAAGACAGUAUUCAGAUUUACAACUCAAAGCCUGAUAUAAUUGUAUGAGCCCCCAUGAGUUUGCGUCCUCUAUGAGUGAAUAUGUGCUCUCUGGGCCACAGCUAGGUGGGUUCUUGCUGAGACUCUGCUGUACUCCACUUUCACUGUAGUUCUUUGAAUGGGCUAGCUCACUUGAUGUGCAUCCUUUAACUUGUGGUUAGCGUGUCUUUAAGAAGUCCAUAUAUUAAGGGGAGGGGAAUCCCUUGAAGAUUUAACAUAGAUUCCACUUGACUCCCAGAUCCAUAAUCCUACACGCAGUUUUUCAGAGCUCUUCAGCUCAGUUUCCUCUGUGUGUGCUUCCAUUGCAGGAGAGAACCUGUAAUGUUUGUGAACUGCCUUUUUCUUCCUCAGAAUCGCCUAGCCUGAUUGAGAGAGCCGCAGGUAGUGCAUAAUAAAUGGAAAUGCCAGUGCAGUCACUGAAAAGGGCGUUGGGCCACCUUGUGCAUAUGUAGGCCAUAUGCGCAGAGGCAUCCGGAAAUCUGCAGGGAGAAUGUGGCAUGUUCUUCCAGGAGAAGGUCAAAUCAUCCUGGAUAAUGCAAGUGGAAAAGACUGCCUUGUUGUGUUCCAGAAUAUCCCAUGAGUUUCAGUUCACUUGGUGUCCCUCAUGUACCCAGGUGAUUCAAUUUUUUUACAACUACCAGUAUCUGAGUUGUAUGUAGUUCAAGAGGAGAGCUGCGUCAGCAUGCGUAAGGCUGCAAAGGAACAGGUAACAGGUUUGUUCCAUGCUGAAUAAACACUUGAAGGCUCCACAGCCAAAACGUUGCGUUUUCCUUUCCUUUUCAGUGUGGAAUUAACCCGUUACCUGUUCCCCUGAGUCAUAUGGACUUGGCAUCUUUUUACAACAGCAAGAUGGUCCUGCGCAUAGUGUUGGCACUCCACACCGCUGGGCAGAAAUGACAGUCAGUCUUGAAACCUGUACCACUCCCUCUUCAUCAUUUUCACCGAAGAGCUACCGUCUUGUGCAGCUUGCAGAGAAAUGGACCCUGCCUGUGUUGAAAACAAAAUCCUUAACCGGUAAAAUGUGACUGUUUUUUUUUCUCCCCAGUUGAAACAAAAAAGUCUGAAACCGAACCAUGAUAAAAUAUUUUUAUUUGCUAUCUAUUUGUUUUAGACCACAACAAACAGUAUCAAAAAAGCUUUUUUUGUUUAAAAAGUAAAUUUUAGAAUAAAUGUUUUCCUUAAAAAAAAAAUAUGAAUAUAAUAUCUGUUCUUUAUAUUUUAAAAUAUACAGUCGACAGUAGAGUACAGGAUCCCCCUCCCCUGUUGUGGAGGAAUUUAGGAUGAGCACUAAAGUAAAAUACAGGUCUGGAACAGGGGAGUUGUCUUCACAGCUAUACAAAUAGAUACUCACUCUGGUACAUACAGCAGAUCAAUGUAAUACAUGAAUAAAAAUGCUAUAGUUUCUA
Non-coding RNA from Lepisosteus oculatus (spotted gar), 1920 nucleotides. NCBI's taxonomy places the organism in Eukaryota, Metazoa, Chordata, Actinopteri, Semionotiformes, Lepisosteidae. The record is from RefSeq and is a predicted model, not a curated record.